UACGGGGGGGGCAAGCGUUGUUCGGAAUUACUGGGCGUAAAGGGCUCGUAGGUGGCCAACUAAGUCAGACGUGAAAUCCCUCGGCUUAACCGGGGAACUGCGUCUGAUACUGGAUGGCUUGAGUUUGGGAGAGGGAUGCGGAAUUCCAGGUGUAGCGGUGAAAUGCGUAGAUAUCUGGAGGAACACCGGUGGCGAAGGCGGCGACCUGGUCCUUGACUGACGCUGAGGCGCGAAAGCGUGGGGAGCAAACAGG
RNAcentral lists this ribosomal RNA (253 nucleotides) under uncultured bacterium. RNAcentral's name for it is "partial 16S ribosomal RNA". It matches the Rfam family "Bacterial small subunit ribosomal RNA", at positions 524 to 776 of the family's 1533-position model. The record is from RNAcentral.